This is a long non-coding RNA of Xenopus laevis (African clawed frog), 804 nucleotides long. RefSeq lists it as uncharacterized. The record is from RefSeq and is a predicted model, not a curated record. NCBI's taxonomy places the organism in Eukaryota, Metazoa, Chordata, Amphibia, Anura, Pipidae. The transcript has 2 exons.
UUGCUGCCGUUCACAGUGGAAGCCGGAUGAACAGGGCCUUCAGCAGGGCAUGUCAGUCCCCUGUCUCUGCGCUCCUGCAUCAGCACAGACAGCUGCAGCACACUACUGGAGAGGUGCGGAUUAUAUUUUUUAUGCUGAUUGCUGGCCUGCCUGUGCUGAGCCUGAACGCAAUGCUCCCAAAAGCAUCCAGGCACAGCAAAACCUACAGUAACUACUGCUCCACUGCAAUGAGACGCAGCUUAAAUAUACCGUGGAAGACUACCAAAUCAUCUACCUCUUGCAAAUUUCGGGGACGGCACAGGGUUUAACAUGAAACUCGCUGCAUUGAUUCCUCCGAUCACAACAGAAAUACGUAACAGAAUUACUUCUUCCAUAUUUCCCCUGUCUCCUAAUAGCCGCCAUGUACCCUGUCGGAGCAUUGGAUCGCUGCUUGAGUCGGCAAAGAGAAUGAACAUCCACAACCCAAAAAGUAUUUUUAUGUCCCCAAGUUUGUCCAAGGCUUUCAAAGACUUCCAUGAGUGACUAAGCAAAACAAAUCUAUUUUAUUUGCUUAAAUGGAUAUUUAAGAGACUAGUAGGGGCAGCCUCACCAUUAGCCAGGGCAUCAACUUGAGGGGAUUACGUCCUACUGAGGAUUAUUAUCUAUAAAAGAGUGAGGUGAGACAGCCAGGAAGUAUCAGAGGUUCUGAGUCAAUGUCAUUGUUCCAAUACGGUCAACCAGCUUAUUAAGUAGCAAAUAAUAGCAUUUAGUUUGCAGUUCCCCCUGUCACGCUUGGUUUAUCAUUUCUAAAAGAUUAACUCCUCA